Molecule: ribosomal RNA, 253 nt
Filed under: uncultured bacterium
Lineage: Bacteria
Description: partial 16S ribosomal RNA
Rfam family: Bacterial small subunit ribosomal RNA
Source: RNAcentral
UACGUAGGGGGCGAGCGUUGUUCGGAAUUACUGGGCGUAAAGGGCGCGUAGGCGGCCAGCUAAGUCGAACGUGAAAUCCCCGGGCUCAACCCGGGAACUGCGUCCGAUACUGGCAGGCUUGAAUCCGGGAGAGGUGAGUGGAAUUCCCAGUGUAGCGGUGAAAUGCGUAGAUAUUGGGAGGAACACCAGUGGCGAAGGCGGCUCACUGGACCGGAACUGACGCUGAGGCGCGAAAGCGUGGGGAGCAAACAGG